RNAcentral lists this long non-coding RNA (1012 nucleotides) under Neogobius melanostomus (round goby). RNAcentral's name for it is "lncRNA (ENSNMLG00000020696.1)". Lineage: Eukaryota; Metazoa; Chordata; Actinopteri; Gobiiformes; Gobiidae. The record is from RNAcentral.
AUUACAGAUUACUUCAACUACGGUUUCACUGAAGAGACGUGGGAGGCUUUCUACCUGAAACAGAAAGACAUGCGAUCGGCUAGGAGGGAAAUGGCAUCUGUAUGCAAGCGAAUUGAAGAUAAACAGAGAGCAAACAGAGAAAAGCGAACAGGUGGUACAGAAAAGGUGGACAAACACAGACAACAUCAGAAGGAGUGGAGCCGACCUUGUUCUGCCUCUGACUCACACAGUUUAUUUCCCAGACGAUGUGACUCCACCAGUAGUGCAAGCCAAGAUGAUUGGUCCAGAAGACGACAUGACUCCAAUCGUAGUUUAAACCGAGAUCGCUGGUCGGGUGGAGGCAGAAAGAGCUCAUCAGCCACGGAGGACAGUGCUACUCAUCUAUUCACUUCACCUGACUCCAUGUGUCCCUCUGAUCCCUAUUUUCAAAGAUCCUCAAUGACCCUUAGUGAGACUGCGGAUAGACGGGAGGGCCGAGUGAGGAGCAAGGACAGUGAAGAGUGCAGAGAACAGCAAUAUGAGGAGAGGAAGAGGAGAAGAACGCACGAGGAAGACAAACCCAGCUGCAGAAACCCCACUCCUCAAAGAGAGCCAGGCAAGGACAGGGUCAGGUCUCGCAGAGGACUCAGAGGAGGCAAAAGACAAAAGAGAAAGAAAAAAAGAGAAAGAGAAAGAGACAAGAUAAGGAGACACCCCCUGCCUGAGAGCAAAACAAAUGUCUCAAUAUUACUCUCUUAAUCGAGUUAAUGAGAACCACCCUGCGGUGCCGACAUGCGUGUAGCCUCAGAAAACACAGCUGUGUUUGUGAACAGUAACCAAUUCUAAUUAUCUGCAGUUUUAUGAGAUUUUAAUUUGUGCUGCACUGAGUGAAGCAAAAGUCAAUACUCACUAGAUGUUCAAAUAUUUAUAUUUGCUUUUUAUGGCGUAUUGUUGUUGUUUUAGUCCAUAGCAUUAACUUAACUUUAAGCGAAGUUUUCAAGUUAGAAAAUAGAUGAUAAUAUUAAAUAUGAUU